UCUUUCCGAGUCCUCCCAUACC
This 22-nucleotide microRNA is filed under the name Populus trichocarpa (black cottonwood). RNAcentral describes it as "ptc-miR482c-3p". Its record names the gene ptc-miR482c-3p. The record is from miRBase by way of RNAcentral. Lineage: Eukaryota; Viridiplantae; Streptophyta; Magnoliopsida; Malpighiales; Salicaceae.